Molecule: ribosomal RNA, 750 nt
Filed under: uncultured bacterium
Lineage: Bacteria
Description: bacterial SSU rRNA
Rfam family: Bacterial small subunit ribosomal RNA
Source: RNAcentral
AGAGUUUGAUCAUGGCUCAGAACGAACGCUGGCGGCAUGCCUAACACAUGCAAGUCGAACGUGAUCCAGGCUUCGGUCUGGUGAAAGUGGCAAACGGGUGAGUAACGCGUGGGAACCUGCCCAGAGGUAGGGAAUAACUGCGGGAAACUGCGGCUAAUACCCUAUGUGUCCUGAGGGACAAAGAUUUAUCGCCUUUGGAGGGGCCCGCGUCGGAUUAGGUAGUUGGUGGGGUAACGGCCUACCAAGCCAUCGAUCCGUAGCUGGUCUGAGAGGAUGAUCAGCCACACUGGGACUGAGAUACGGCCCAGACUCCUACGGGAGGCAGCAGUGGGGAAUAUUGGACAAUGGGGGCAACCCUGAUCCAGCAAUGCCGCGUGAGUGAUGAAGGCCUUCGGGUUGUAAAGCUCUUUCGGCGGGGAAGAUGAUGACGGUACCCGCAGAAGAAGCCCCGGCUAACUUCGUGCCAGCAGCCGCGGUAAUACGAAGGGGGCUAGCGUUGUUCGGAAUUACUGGGCAAAGGGCGCGUAGGCGGUGCUGUAAGUCAGGCGUGAAAUCCCCGGGCUCAACCUGGGAAUUGCGCAUGAUACUGCGGCGCUGGAAUGCGGGAGAGGAUGGCGGAAUUCCCAGUGUAGAGGUGAAAUUCGUAGAUAUUGGGAAGAACACCGGUGGCGAAGGCGGCCAUCUGGCCCGUGAUUGACGCUGAGGCGCGAAAGCGUGGGGAGCAAACAGGAUUAGAUACCCUAGUAGUCC